Molecule: ribosomal RNA, 376 nt
Filed under: uncultured bacterium
Lineage: Bacteria
Description: partial 16S ribosomal RNA
Rfam family: Bacterial small subunit ribosomal RNA
Source: RNAcentral
CCUACGGGAGGCAGCAGUGGGGAAUAUUGCACAAUGGGGGAAACCCUGAUGCAGCGACGCCGCGUGAGUGAAGAAGUAUUUCGGUAUGUAAAGCUCUAUCAGUAGGGAAGAAAAUGACGGUACCUGAUUAAGAAGUCCCGGCUAAUUACGUGCCAACAGCCGCGGUAUUACGGCGGGGGAGAGCGUUAUCCGGAUUUACUGGGUGGAAAGGGAGUGUAGACGGCGGCACAUGUCUGGUGUGAAAGGCCGGGGCUUAACCCGGGAACUGCAUUGGAUACUGGGCAGCUAGAGUGCAGGAGAGGUGAGUAGAAGUCCUGGUGUAGCGGUGAAAUGCGUAGAUAUGAGGAGGAACACCAAUGGCGAAGGCAGCUUAUUG